Molecule: ribosomal RNA, 524 nt
Filed under: Salmonella enterica
Lineage: Bacteria; Pseudomonadati; Pseudomonadota; Gammaproteobacteria; Enterobacterales; Enterobacteriaceae
Also listed under: 1 other name
Description: partial 23S ribosomal RNA
Rfam family: Bacterial large subunit ribosomal RNA
Source: RNAcentral
GGUUAAGCGACUAAGCGUACACGGUGGAUGCCCUGGCAGUCAGAGGCGAUGAAGGGCGUGCUAAUCUGCGAUAAGCGCCGGUAAGGUGAUAUGAACCGUUAUAACCGGCGAUACCCGAAUGGGGAAACCCAGUGUGACUCGUCACACUAUCAUUAACUGAAUCCAUAGGUUAAUGAGGCGAACCGGGGGAACUGAAACAUCUAAGUACCCCGAGGAAAAGAAAUCAACCGAGAUUCCCCCAGUAGCGGCGAGCGAACGGGGAGGAGCCCAGAGCCUGAAUCAGCAUGUGUGUUAGUGGAAGCGUCUGGAAAGGCGCGCGAUACAGGGUGACAGCCCCGUACACAAAAGCGCAUGUGCUGUGAGCUCGAUGAGUAGGGCGGGACACGUGGUAUCCUGUCUGAAUAUGGGGGGACCAUCCUCCAAGGCUAAAUACUCCUGACUGACCGAUAGUGAACCAGUACCGUGAGGGAAAGGCGAAAAGAACCCCGGCGAGGGGAGUGAAAAAGAACCUGAAACCGUGUACG